AUGAACAAAAACCCUCUAAAAUCAGAACAGUAAAUAAGGAACAACACUCUGAAAACAGAGGAAAUUCAGACAUGAAUCAAUCAGGGACAGCUAACGACUCUGAACAAAGGAUUCCUCCAGGCCAUGAAGUUUGCAAGGCCAUUUAAUGUCAAUCAAGGUCAUUAAUUACAACAUUCACACUGGCCUCCAACAGACAAGAGUUCUUUCCCCCACCCUGGACCAUCCACAGAUAUAUAAACCUUCUUUGCUUAGUUUCUCCAUAUACCUCACAACCUCUGACGAUGCCUGCCAUAGAUGUGGGUGAAACAUCAGGAGAGAAUAUUCCUGGAACAUGGCCAUAUAGCCUGGAAAACACUCAACAACCCAAUAGUAUUAUGAUGUCAUAAUUACAUCCUUAUUGCCUAGAAUCCUCUCUGUUAAAGUGCCAAACUACUUAAAACAGGAGCUCCUUAUUACUGGUCACUCCAAGAAUGGAGACUAAAAGAAGAAGCGAAGUAUAUCUUGUCUUCCUUCCCAUUCACCACCAGGCCUUUCCCUAUUGUGUCAUGUCAUAUGAUACAAGACUGAUUCCCAAGGUGGAGGAUUAUAUUGCUAUAGUGAUGGCUCUGAGUAUGGGGAAAAUUGAAAACAGAACAUUGCUGGGUGAAAGUUCCCUAUUGCAAACAUCUGUGACUGAACAAGGAUUUGUGUUUCCAUGUCCUGGAAGAUCAAGGGGAUUUCGUCCUUCUCCAGAUGCACACCUACAGUCUGAGGCAAUGUGUUGGUAACAAAACUAAUAAAAACUCAGUUAGAAACA
Molecule: long non-coding RNA, 796 nt
Organism: Anolis carolinensis (green anole)
Lineage: Eukaryota; Metazoa; Chordata; Lepidosauria; Squamata; Anolidae
Exons: 2
Source: RefSeq, a predicted model, not a curated record